This 72-nucleotide transfer RNA is filed under the name Camelus bactrianus (Bactrian camel). It matches the Rfam family "tRNA". From Rfam's summary of the family: Transfer RNA (tRNA) molecules are approximately 80 nucleotides in length. Their secondary structure includes four short double-helical elements and three loops (D, anti-codon, and T loops). The record is from Rfam by way of RNAcentral. RNAcentral also lists the same sequence under 2 other names. Lineage: Eukaryota; Metazoa; Chordata; Mammalia; Artiodactyla; Camelidae.
GGGGGUGUAGCUCAGUGGUAGAGUGUGUGCUUAGCAUAUACAAGGUACUGGGUUCAAUCCCCAGUACCUCCA